RNAcentral lists this ribosomal RNA (469 nucleotides) under uncultured bacterium. Its description in RNAcentral is "SSU rRNA". It matches the Rfam family "Bacterial small subunit ribosomal RNA", at positions 26 to 518 of the family's 1533-position model. The record is from RNAcentral.
AGGACGAACGCUGGCGGCGUGGCUAAGACAUGCAAGUCGCACGGAGUAGCAAUACUCAGUGGCGAACGGGUGAGUAAUGAAUCGCUAACGUACCCCGGACUCUGGGAUAGCUAUCCGAAAGGGUAGGUAAUACCAGAUUAUAUAACUCUGCUGCAUGGCAGAGUUCUCAAAGGUCCGCCGGUCUGGGGAGCGGGGCGAGUUUGUAAGUCGAGCUAGGUUGGUGAGGUAACGGCUCACCAAGGCGACGACGCAUAGCCGGACCGAGAGGUUGGCCGGCCACAUUGGGACUGAGACACUGCCCAGACUCCUACGGGGGGCUGCAGUAACGAAUCUUCCGCAAUGUACGAAAGUAUGACGGAGCGACGCCGCGUGUAGGACGAAGCCCUUCGGGGUGUAAACUACUGUCAGGGGUUAGAAAGUUCUGAUCAACCCCAGAGGAAGGCACGGCUAACUCUGUGCCAGCAGCCGC